Phoenix dactylifera (date palm) is the source of this 682-nucleotide non-coding RNA. Lineage: Eukaryota; Viridiplantae; Streptophyta; Magnoliopsida; Arecales; Arecaceae. The record is from RefSeq and is a predicted model, not a curated record.
GUGCAGUCAAGCUCUUCAAAACUAGACCGCUGUAUCCAGGAUCCACAACAUCAAAUAUAGACUCGCUGAGAAGAAGCAUGGAAAAAAUUGAGCCAGAGAAAAACUUUAACCAUGCUGUGAUGCAAGACCUGGACAGAGAAUCCUUGUCGUCAUUAAGUAGAAGCAUAGAAGAGAUUGAACAGAAUGAUAUCAGUAGUGUUGAUGACAAAGAGAUUCUGAGGGAACAGGAGAGUCCAGGGUCUAAUGUUGAAUCUGGGCCUCCUACCAACAGGUCUGUGUCAGACGUGACAAAUUCUAGAACCGGAGUCUCAUAGCAUGCACCUGGUCACAACUUGAUACCAUACAAAACCAAACUGGCUGUUGAGAAACCUCCAGACUGUAAAUCAGUUCCUGAAGUGAAGAAGGCGAGAAACACCACGAUGGCAAUGACUUGUCUGAAGAUGCAAAGCCUCAGGUGUUCCCAUUAAAAGGAAUCAAUCAUCAGAUAGCUGCAAUCAUGCAUAAUGCAGUGUGUCAGCAGCUGCCUGCUGUGUGCGGUUAACUAGUUAUAAUACCUGUUUUCUCUCCUAGUUAAAAUGGCUGCUGCUGUCAAGUGGUACAUAUCUGUAGUUUGUGUAACUUGCUGUAUCAUAUAUGCCAUAAAAGGCUGUAAUUUAGAUCUUGUAUUGCUUUGGAGCGUUGA